This 124-nucleotide ribosomal RNA is filed under the name Lepisosteus oculatus (spotted gar). Lineage: Eukaryota; Metazoa; Chordata; Actinopteri; Semionotiformes; Lepisosteidae. The record is from RNAcentral.
ACCAGCAGACAUGUUACCUUGCAACUCACAACUACUGUAGCAGCCCACUGAAGCUAAGCAAGUGUGAGCCUGUUCAGUACCUGGAUGGGAGAUCUCCUGGGAAAAACUAAGGUUGCUGCUGGAA